Molecule: ribosomal RNA, 497 nt
Filed under: uncultured bacterium
Lineage: Bacteria
Description: partial 16S ribosomal RNA
Rfam family: Bacterial small subunit ribosomal RNA
Source: RNAcentral
GAUGAACGCUGGCGGCGUGCCUAAUACAUGCAAGUCGAGCGAACGGACGAGAAGCUUGCUUCUCUGAUGUUAGCGGCGGACGGGUGAGUAACACGUGGAUAACCUACCUAUAAGACUGGGAUAACUUCGGGAAACCGGAGCUAAUACCGGAUGAUAUUUUGAACCGCAUGGUUCAAAAGUGAAAGACGGUCUUGCUGUCACUUAUAGAUGGAUCCGCGCUGCAUUAGCUAGUUGGUAAGGUAACGGCUUACCAAGGCAACGAUGCAUAGCCGACCUGAGAGGGGGAUCGGCCACCCUGGAACUGAGACACGGUCCAGACUCCUACGGGAGGCAGCAGUAGGGAAUCUUCCGCAAUGGGCGAAAGCCUGACGGAGCAACGCCGCGUGAGUGAUGAAGGUCUUCGGAUCGUAAAACUCUGUUAUUAGUGAAGAACAUAUGUGUAAGUAACUGUGCACAGCUUGACGGUACCUAAUCAGAAAGCCACGGCUAACUACGUG